This is a long non-coding RNA of Drosophila busckii, 347 nucleotides long. RefSeq lists it as uncharacterized. The record is from RefSeq and is a predicted model, not a curated record. The transcript is spliced from 3 exons. Lineage: Eukaryota; Metazoa; Arthropoda; Insecta; Diptera; Drosophilidae.
AUCGAUGUUUUUCCGAUGUUCGAUGUUUUUUAAUUUUCCCAUCACUGUGAAAAAAGCCGCGCAAUAGGUAGCCGAGUUCACUCCAUUUUGACUCUUCGUCAAUACUUCAAUGAAGAAAACUUGGAGUCUAGCUUAGAUUACUGGAAGAUCUCAAAUGGUAAAUCAUUAAAAAAAUGUAUACUGCAAUAUUUCUGCGUUCCGGCAACAUCCACUGAAAGCGAACGUAUGUUCAGCAAAGCAGGCUUCAUGGUGAACAAAAAAGAAGUGCCUUGAAAAACAAGCAUGUUGACAUGCUUGUUUUUAUUAACAAAAAUUACUGGAUAUAAUACUUUUUUAGUUAAACUUCU